AUUGAACGCUGGCGGAAUGCUUUACACAUGCAAGUCGAACGGCAGCACGGACUUCGGUCUGGUGGCGAGUGGCGAACGGGUGAGUAAUACAUCGGAACGUGCCCAAUCGUGGGGGAUAACGUAGCGAAAGCUACGCUAAUACCGCAUACGAUCUAAGGAUGAAAGCGGGGGAUCGCAAGACCUCGCGCGAUUGGAGCGGCCGAUGGCAGAUUAGGUAGUUGGUAGGGGAAAGGCCUACCAAGCCGACGAUCUGUAGCUGGUCUGAGAGGAUGAUCAGCCACACUGGGACUGAGACACGGCCCAGACUCCUACGGGAGGCAGCAGUGGGGAAUUUUGGACAAUGGACGCAAGUCUGAUCCAGCCAUUCCGCGUGCAGGAUGAAGGCCCUCGGGUUGUAAACUGCUUUUGUACAGAACGAAAAGGCUCUGGUUAAUACCUAGGGCUCAUGACGGUACUGUAAGAAUAAGCACCGGCUAACUACGUGCCAGCAGCCGCGGUAA
This 500-nucleotide ribosomal RNA is filed under the name uncultured bacterium. RNAcentral's name for it is "partial 16S ribosomal RNA". It matches the Rfam family "Bacterial small subunit ribosomal RNA", at positions 30 to 523 of the family's 1533-position model. The record is from RNAcentral.